This 14424-nucleotide long non-coding RNA is filed under the name Ananas comosus (pineapple). RNAcentral describes it as "long non-coding RNA (ACOM_LNC013646)". Lineage: Eukaryota; Viridiplantae; Streptophyta; Magnoliopsida; Poales; Bromeliaceae. The record is from RNAcentral.
AAAUGAGAUCAAACCCAUCUAUUAACAAAAACCCUCUUUGGAUGCCCUAGAAUGCCAUUAUAGUCAAAUCCACCAAAUCCAUCUAUGAAAUGGGGAAAAUUCAUCUUAAUAGCAUGCUAGGGUUCCACUCCAACUAUUUUUAGAGAUAAAAAACCUAUCUCUAAAGAUCUACCAUGAGAGGGCACCAAGCUUACCUCUCCAAGCUCGCUCCAAUGGUGAGAAGAGGAUGAAGAGGUGGAGGAAGAUCUCCUUUUAGUCUUCUUCUCCUUCUUCUUCUCUUUCUUUCUUCUCUUUUCUUAUUUUUCUUUCUUUCCUUUUGCUUUCUUUCUUCUUUCUCCCCUUCACGAUCAGAGAGAGAGAGGAGGCGGUGGGAAAAUGAGGGGGGGAGAGAGAGAGAGAGAUACCUCUCUAAUAACCCCUCAUAUGGCCAUUUUGCACAUAAGCCCCUCCACUUUUCUAUCUCUCAACUUGCCCUUGCUGGGCAUUUUUCGCCCAGAGGGACCGGUCUCCCCGACCUGGGACCGGUCCCCGAGAGCUCCUCCCGAUGUCACGCGUUCGGGAAUGGGUCUCUCCCUGAGAGACCGGUCCCCGAGAGCUCGUCUCGCGGGACUUAGCCAUUUUUUGGCUCUUCUCGCUGGUGUCGCACACGCGGACCAGUCCCCCCUCUGCCAGGGACCGGUUGCAUCAGCCACCCUGCAACCACAAGCCGACGGGACCGGUCUCUCACUGCCAGAGACCGGUCCUCGUGAGCAAAACCUGCCAAAAGUGCGGAUUUGCAUCUUUUGCUCUCGCGGACGCCUUUCCAAUGCACUUCUUGGGUUUCGUGCAUCCUUAGCUUUUCCAAAGCUUACCAACUCGACCAUUAGUCGAUUCUGGACGAAGUGCAACUCUCGGAUUUCGAGAAUUCACAUUGUUACAUUUUCCCCUCCUUAAAAAGAGUUUCGUCUUCGAAACUCACUCAUUUCAAACCCCAAUCAUUCCUCGAUUCACUUUUCGAGUACUCAAGGGUUCCAAUACACUUUCGUACUCCGGAGUGGCCUUUUUCUCAUCGGAAUCAUCCAAAAGCCCACUACGGAAGAUGUGAGACUAAAUUCGCUCACAUUUUCCAAAUGUAAUUCUCAAAAGUGCAUUACGGCUUCACAAGCCUCGGUGGUAGUGUGAGUCAAUACUCAUGGCUCCACAUGCUCCAACACCACCAGCUACUCGGCUUAAGAAGGACUUGUUCCUUCGUAGUUCUACUGAACAUCAAUCUCCUUCGAGAUCAGGACUACCCUUUGUCCUUGUGGUGUGGACCUAGCAUGGUCGCAUCAGCUAGAUGGAUGAUCCACCACCAACACACUAAGUGCAUAGGUAGACCCUCUCGAAUUAUUCAAGCCCUCACAAAGUGGCACUUUACCACUUUGGCUAUUCGAGAGCCCGAUACAACUCUUCACAUUCCUCAUCACAUUGGGGAACACACUCCGAUUCGAUCUCCAGCAUUGCCUAGAAGCAAUAUCAUUGGUGCCUUGACCCAAUCGCGAUUGUUUCAAUCCCAAUCGAAUCUCUGCUCUCUCACGAGGUGGUACACUCCCACGCAUCUCUAAUCUCAAUCCUCUGGAGAGCAUUAUUCACAAAUUCUAGUCCUCACGUGGCUAUUUAUUAAUCAAGUGUCUCCUAGAGACCACUUUACUUUCUCUUUAUCCCUGAUACGGUAAGCCACGAUCAACUUCCAUUCGCUCUUGCAACGAAUUUAUACGAACCCGCCAUCCGGGGUUCAGGCCAAAACUCACUAACAGAGUUGUCGACCGCACCGACCGUCGGUUUGCACAGGUGGACCAAGGGCCACCAAUCCUACGCAGAUCUACUGCCUAGACUCGUCUCAACGAUGCCUAGCGUUUCUCGUUCACAAGCGCAGACCCAAUCGUCAUCGGGCGACAUUCUCAUUGGAGAAUUCGCACACACUCCAACCAGGAGCAACCAAGACCCCAAACCACGUCAAGUCCUCAGGUUGGGUCACUACACACUCGGUGUGUCAUCAAUCUCAUGAUCUAACACGUGGCAUUCCACGUACCCGGGUCCAAGCUCGGACUACCGUCCUGACCAAUACUCUGCCCUACCAAUAGGUACCGGGCCGCUGUCUCUCACAGCUGACUGUGCCUGCCCAAUAGGCCCAGGCCCCACAGUCCACAAAUGGUCCAGGCACGGGUCGUCCCCAAGCACUACCCUCCAACGUCGUCCUACACGACAUGCUCUACAGAGCUACACCCUCUAUCAGCUCCUAGGCACCUAGUGCGAGCCACCAGCCCCACGAGUGAUCCAUGGCCCGCUUCACACUUAGCCCUGCUAAAGUGCUACUGCUAAUACACUCAACCGGCUGAAUCGAAACCGCAUUCCACGAGUAACUACGCUUGAGCGUUCUACGCCCCUCCACAGCGUCUCACACGAAGUCUAGCAUCAGGCAACUUGCCUAUACCCGCCGACUACACGAGCACGACUCGCUUACCUCAAUUCGAGGUACAACUAGGCCCACAGGCCAAACUCGGCGCUAAUCAACCAAUUUCGCAACAGUGGUUCAUCCUCACUAUUCGAUCUACUGAAUCCGUAUCUGAAAUACUCUUGGAAUAUUCGGGUAUCCCCAAACACCAAGACUCAACUCUCACAAUCCCUUAUCAUUGCUUCGAGAGUCAUUUACUAGGUCACGUUUGCCACGAGUCCCAUUUCUUAUCCAAGAAUCAUCACCAGCCAUUCGCUAGUGUCACUUGGCUUUCUACCUGCUCCAGCAGGCGCUAUACUCUCACAAUGCAAGCAUGCUCGGGUGUCCACCUACCCGACCACUCGGUCCCUACUAUGCAAUGUAAUAAUAGUAACAACUGACCAAUGAUGAAUGUAUGCCAUGCACCAACUUGAGAUCAUGCAAAAGUAUAUGAUUACUCGAUUAACUCAUACCUGCCAUGACGUCGUCAGCGACGGCAGGCCCCGCAACUCGGGUCGCUUAUCCAUGGCCACUUGGGGCUCGCCGCGAACCCUCUGGUUGCAUCGUCCUCAACGGCUGCUCCCCCGACCAUACCGCAGGUGGCACACCUGCAGGUUGUCCCGGAGAGGAAUAGGCCGUCGUCAGCGUCAAGGCCCGACUAUCACCUUGCGAACACUCGUCCCGCAUAUGGCCCGGCAGCCCACACUUGAAGCACUUGCCCUCUCGCUGCUCACACUGCUGUGGGAAAUGAGGGCCCCCACAAACUGCACAUCUCACCGAGGACUGAAUGUGAUACGUUCCCGGAGCUCGAGAUCGAGAGCGCGAACUCACUGAGGUCUGUUGGGAACUUGACUGACCAUCAUGUUCACUCGUUGGUCGUCCUUUCCCCUUUUCCUUGUGAUAGGCCUCGCGCCUCUCCCGCAGAGAUGCCUCGCCUUGUUCUAUCCACAAGGCCCGAUCUAGGACUUCCACAAAAGUCUGCAACUUAAGCAUCAGCACAGGAUUAUAAAGAUCCGGCCGAAGUCCACGCACAAAGCAGUCGGCCUUAUCCUUAUCAUCCCGUACUACGUCUGAGACACAAUGCACGAGACGAGAAAAUUUUCGCUUGUAUUGCCUGACUGAGCGACCUCCUUGCCGGAGCUUCCGGAACCUUUUCUGAAGCUUCCGUUUCUCACUAUCGGGAAAGUAAGCAGAGAACAACAAUCCCCGAAAUUCUUCCCCCGCCAUAGGAGGGAGACUAAGCGAUCGAUCUCGUUUGUCGCCUUUCCACCACACCUUCGCCGAUUGUUUCAGAUAGUGCACGGCUAGGUUUGCCUUGUCUCGCUCCAACGUGUACAGAUUCUCGAAGAGUGUUUCUAUGGAAUCGAUCCACAUCUCAAUGACCCACGGAUCUACAUCCUCUCCAUCAAAGGUAGGCGGAUCAAAUUUCUUGAAAGUCAUGAGGGCCGCUAGAGCUCGGUCCCUCUUCGCCACUACCUCUGGACCAACAGAAGUCGGGUCGCCCGACCCCGACGGAAACGCCUCCGCUGCAACUCCUGGCUGUCCUCGACCAGCCGCGGCUGGUGCUGCCACCAGCUGAUCUACAGCCGAUUGAUUGUAAGAAUCGCACGGUUACUUUUAGAGAACCUGGGCAGACCGAGGUGGUAUUUUGUGGAUGCCGGAGUUCGCUGUUUGCGAUGACAAUCAGCUCGUCUCGAGCUAGGCAGCUGAUUAGUAGAGAUUGUGUAGCCUAUUUAGCUAGUGUUGUGCUGAGGGGCGAAGAUGACGCCCCUAGGAUUGAGGAUAUUCCGGUGGUGCGGGAGUUUCAGGAUGUGUUUCCAGCUGAGCUACCGGGUAUGCCCCCUGAUAGGGAGAUUGAGUUUGUGGUAGAUCUCGUCCCUGGGACUACCCCAAUCUCAAAGGCUCCCUAUAGGAUGGCACCGGCGGAGCUGAGGGAGCUGAGGGCACAGCUGCAGGAUUUGUUGGACAAAGGCUUCAUUCGACCGAGUGUUUCACCUUGGGGAGCACCCGUUUUGUUCGUCAAGAAGAAAGACGGAUCACUUCGCCUUUGCGUGGAUUAUCGUGAACUUAAUAAAGUCACGAUCAAGAACAAGUAUCCGUUGCCGAGGAUCGAUGACUUGUUUGAUCAGCUUGGAUCAUGUGGUGUAUUCGCAACGAUAGAACUUGCAGUCGGGAUAUCCACCAGUUGAUAGAUUAAACCGAGACGUAUCAAAGACGGUCUUUUAGAACGCGGUAUGGACAUUAUGAGUUAACAGUUAUUGCCGUUUGGCUUACUAAUGCCCCGGAGGCUUUUAGUGGACGAUACCCGUGGUUUUAUAAGGCCUUAUCUAGACAGGUUGCGUUCGCUGGUGUUCAUCGACGACUAUUUUGUCUACUCUCGAGUGAAUGCCAGAUCACGGAACUUGAGAUUGUAACUCCAGUACUUCGGGAAAAGACUUUAUUGCCAAGUUGAAGAAAUCGUGAGUUUUGGCUUCCAAGAGGUAGCUCUCUUGGACAUCGAUUUUCGGGAUCGGGUAUGCCGUGGAUCCCAAGAAGAUCGCAAGCAAUUCAAGGAUUGGCCGACGACCGACGAGGCGUCACAGGAGAUACGGAGCUUCUUGAGUUGGCGGUUACUACCGGAGGUUCGUUAGUGGAUUUGCAAGGUUAUCUACCCCUCACGAGGCUCUACGCACAAAGGUGUUAAGUUCAUUUGGAAUGACGCGUUGGAGCGACAGCCUCCAAGAGUUGAAGCGCAGAGAUUGACGCUUGCCGCCAACUUGACCCACCAGUAGCACUGGAGCAGGGUAGCGUGGUUUAUAGCGAUGCUUGCGCUUAAGUGGUUGGGCUUGUAUUGAUGCAUGGAUUGAGCAAGGGAUCGCGUAUAGCUUUCUCGCAACUAAAGGAAAUAUGAAAGAACACCCUCGACGCAACGAAUUUGGAGUUGCGCGCUGUAAGUGUUCGCAUUGAAAUGUAUGGCGCUAGCACUAUCUUUAUGCGAGGAGCGGUCUGUGAAGUAUACACGGACUCACAAGAGCUUAAAGUACUGUUUACUCAGAAGGAUUGAACUCUGAGGCAGCGCCAGAUGGUUGAGGCUGCCAACUAAGAUAUGAUCUACGAUUCUUUACCACACGGGCAACGGCUAACGCGUGCGAGAUGGCUAAAGUAGGAAAUGCUGAUGGAAAACUUAGCGAUUGCAUGUUGUGACUGCAACCGCAGUUGUCGAGCAGAUGAAGCGGUUGAGUUGGAGAUAGUGAUCCUGACACGCCUAUUGAGUUGAUGCACAUUGGUGGUCACACUACUUGUUGGAAGGAAUUUCAAAGGAACAGGCAAAGGCUUUCCGAUGGGAGUUGAAAAGAUUAGAGGUAAAAAUGGUUGAUGGUUGCCACUUACCCGGGCGAUUUCCUUGUGGACGACCUGAGUGGUGUAAUGCGGCUUCGAGAGAGACUAUGUGUUCCGGCGGAUUCGGAAUUAAAGAAGAUAUUCUUCAGAAAGCGCACCGGCCAGCCCUAUAGCAUAAUCUGCGGUGCACCAAAAUGUAUAUGGGAUUUAAAAGUCUGCUCCUAAUUGGUGGCCUGGGAUGAAAUAGGAUGUGGCCGAGUUUGCUCGCUAGAUGCUUAAAUUGCCAACAGUAAAUGGCGCUUGAGCACCCGAGUUCCCAGCGAAAACUUCAAUUUGACCUAUUCCCGGUGUGAAGUGGGAGAGAUCACCAUGGAUUUUGUGACAGGAUUGCCACGCUAAGGCGGGCGAUACGACGCUAUUUGGGUGAUCGUGGAUGCUUGAGCGAAGUCGGCGCCUUCAUACUAAAAAAAAUAUUCAUAACGACUUGGACGUGGAGAAGCUCGCUACAAGUGUACCUUGUGAAUUGUGCGCACUCAUGGAGUGCCUACCGACUCGAUAGUUCUGAUCCGAGACAUCCCGGAUUGUGUCUUCACUUUUGGAGGAGUCUACAGGAUCGCCCGUAGGCACUCCCUGGACUUCAGUACAACAUUCCCACCGCAAGUGACUGGACAGUCGGACGCACAUUCAAGACUUUAGAGGAUAUGACUCGCGGGCUUGGUGUAAUUAGACUUCCAGGGAGGAUGGUACGCGCAUCUACCUAUGGCGCGUUAUUUGCUUAUAUAACAACAGUUAUCAUAAGGAUAAGCAUCAAGAUAGGCGCCCAGUUUCGCAGCACUUUUAUGGAACGGAAGUGCAGUAUCGCCACCUGAUCAUUGGAUGAAUCGGCGAGAGUUUGGACUCUAGCCUCUGAUCAGGUGCCACAGCGAACGCUGAGGAUAAGGUUCGACUAUUGCUCUGGGAGCGACUUUGAACGGCGCAUGAAGUUAACAGAGAGAGCUACGCGAAUCGACCGACGGCUGGGAACUUUGGAGUUCCAAGUUGAAACCAUGUGUUCUUGAAGGUCUCGCUCGACCUAGAGCAACUCAAGACGAUUGCAGGAUUCGGGAAAGUUGAGCCCACUCAGUUUCACCUUGGAGGCCGUAUGAGAUCUUGAGCGUGGUAGGUUCGGUAGGCGUAUGACUUGCUCUACCACAGGAACCUACUCGGCGUACACAACCGUCUUCCAAAUGUAUCAGGUCCUCGGAAGCGUACAUUCAUCGAAUCAGCUCAAUCGUUUUUGGGAUGCGUCAGAUGGAGUUGCGACGUGAAGGCCAUCAUGAGCUUCGAGGAACAACACACUGGAAGAUUUUGGCUCGCGAAGUGAAGAACCUGCGGCAUCAGGGAUAUUCCCGUAUGUGAAGUGCUUUUGGAUCAAUACCAUCCGGGCGAGGCUGGGAGGCCGUGGCUAGAGAGUGCGCUGCCGGAGCGCUAUCUCCACAUCUUUUUCACGAUGGAGGCCCUUAGUAUGCUUAUUUGCUUUCGAGUUUCGCGGACGCGAAACUUCCCUUUUUAGCGAAGGGUAUGUAAUAUGCACUGGAUCUUAGCAAAAUUUGCAAGAUUACGAUUGUUUCUGAUCUGUGUGUGGAGCCUUUCCACAUUUUGUGGAGGCCGUCGUAUGAUCAGGUCCCGACCCCUGGCACCCUCCGCGCGAGAUGUUGGAGUGGGACUAGUGGCACCAAAAUUCCAAAUUCGAAAUUUGCUUGGACCAGGCUCUCGGGUACCUGGCAGCAGGGACUUGUACCAGGAACAAGACUAGGCCUUGUACUGGACAAGGGUUUGUGGGUCACCCCGUACCCCAGCCAUCUACGGCUUGUACCGGUACAAGAACCGCGACCUGCACCAACCACCAAUCGCGACCGCGAGCCUCGGGUUUGCAUUUUUUGUCGGCCUUGUACAGGUACAAGAGCCCGUGUACCGGUACACAAGAGGCAGUUUUAUUGUGGCAUAUAUGGUCUGCAAGCGGGUUUUUACGAGAUUGUAGCAAUACUAUACAGCACCCACAGCCCCUUAGGGCUUCUUUUGUGCUGGGACCAUGAGGAGAGAAGAAGGUGAGAGGAUGCCUAGUCUCUCACCUUUCUUUUGCACUUUUUACGUCCUUUGCUUGGUCUUAUUUGGGUUUCUCUCCUCUUUUUGGCAUCUUGGUCGCUUCUCCAACCAUAUGUUGAUGGCUAGAGCUUGAGAGGAGCUUGAUUGGCUGAGGAGAUCUCCCCACCACUUGGAUUGGAGCCUAAGUUUGAGCUUCUUGAGAGGUUAGAGAACUUGAUUUCUCCGUAUUAACUAUUUGAUCCUUGUAUAUUGAGGCUUUUUGUGAGAUGAAACCACUAGAAUUGAGGUUAUUAAGGGCUUAAUUUGGGUAUUCUUGCAAUCUAGGGCUCUUUGAAGGUACUAGAAUUGAUUGGAUUAGAGGCUCUCAUUAGGUUGGAUUGGAUGAUCCUAGCUUCAUUUUUGAAGUUUUAACGAGGAGAUUUUUCAACCUAGAGGAAUGAGUUUCCUCAUCCUAUGAUUGAUAUAAGAUUAAAUGUCUAUGAGCUAGCGUUUGGUUUGUUUGGCCGCAUAUGAUCACAUGUCUUCUGUACUCUCUAGGAUAUUAGAAGACUAAGAGGACAACCACAUCGUUGGACGCGCGACGAGGAAUUUCGUUGCCAUCGGUGGGUUUGCUUGCUUGAAAUCUGGAGGAAAUUUCCUCCUAAGUGUGUAAAUGCUUUCAUGCUCCUUAAAUUUCAUCAUGCAUAUUCCCAUUGUUUAGCUAUGCUAUUUAUAGAGUUUUUGAUGCUUAGCUAACUCAUAUUGUUGAUGCAACAAGAAAUUUACUCCUCAUCAUAGAGAUGAGAAGAGACAAUAGUGCUUUGUUUAAUAUGCAUGCAACGAAUAUCCCAUUGAAUGAUAGGAAAUCAAGAUUAUCCGCUUCGAAUUUUGACUUAGAACUCCUAAGUUCUUGAACUUAAGUUAUCCAUGUUGGGACAAAAUUGAGCCACUAGUGUCAUAAAGAGGCACUGGCCACUAGAGAAUUAUUAAACUGCAACAUAGAGACUUGCAUAUAGGCCCACAUUGACAUCAAAUAUAUUCCAUAUUUUGAGUAUAUGCAUGAAAUAGUGACUUGCCGGAGGACAUUUACUAUAUACCAGUUAUUAGACAUGCACGGACUUAUUGUACUUGCGACUAUUCGUUUGACCUACUUAUAUAGAAUAACUCAUAUAUGCUUGUGAGGCGUCUCUCCUAACAACGGCACUACAGAAAUGGCAUCCACAAGAAUACAUAUUAAGAAUAAGGUCGACUUGGGCGCCGAAAGUGAUUUGCCCUGGGAGAAGCUCCAUCCUAAGGGUGGGGAUGAUGACUACCACGGGGCCAUUAGGCUCGGCACCGGCCAGACAGCCUACGGGUGGGUCUCAGGGCCUUAGACAGCCUUCGGGUGGGUCUCUUCAGAUUUGACUUCGAGUAUUCAUGACGACUUAGAGUAUUACUUGGACAUUGACUAGAAUAGUAAACAUCGGCAUUGUACUAUUUCGCAUUGUGAACAUUAUGUUAGUUGGAGACUUUAUGCUAUAGUAAGUUAUAUUUUACUUACCGUCUAAUUAAUAUAUUGUUAGACACUGACCUCUUCUUGUAGCUUUUGGGCCUUGUGGCGCAGUUCACUGAAGUCAGUAAUUGCCCACUGGGAACUAUUUUUAAUAGUUCUCACGCCCCUGUUUCUAUGUUUCCUUUUCAGAGCCUUCGGCACCGGCGGAGGCACGGGAUCGCGGCAAGGGGAUCGCUUAGCUAGCUAGCGAGGAGUGAUACUUUGCCUAGGUGGUUACUCUUUCUUUCGUAUUUUGAGAGAGUGUGAGAGAUUUUGUAUCCAUGUGUAGAGACCACCUAUGUACUUACCUUUAGCACUUGUAUUUGGGAUCCCUAUUGUACUUACUUUAUGUUUUAUUUAGUGGAUUUACAGUUUUAACUUUAUCCCUUGUUGUAGCAAUUAGACAUCUGCUAUGCUCUGAUACUCCUAGAUGUAUCGUAUUAUUGCUUUUAUUAUUGUUGCUUUUAGACGCCUUAUAUGUUGUAGACAUAUGGCGGGUCUGGGCACGCGCCGGGCGGGCUUCCGCUGGGUCCCGGGGCGUGACACUAAGUUGGGCCGUGAGCUAAAUCGAGCAUUAGCGAGGAUGGAAAGAUGAUGAAAACAUGUUUGAAAACAUGUUUGGAGAGUCUCGGUUCGAUUUGAAAUGAAUCGGAGGUCAAACGGACGAAAACGAGCGAAAAUAGAGCGAAAACGGACGAAGCUGAAAAUUGGCUAAGUCUGGGCUGGAGGUCUCUCUGGGACCGGUCCCAGGCAGAGAGACCGGUCUCUCAGGGACCGGUCCCUCAUGCAGAGACCGGUCCCCGAACCCCGAAAAUGCCCAGUUCGGGCUGUUGCAAGAGAGGCAUUGUUGUGGGACUUAUAUGCAAUUGUUGCAUAGGUUAAGUGUAUAGAGAGGGUUAGAACACCUCUCUCUCUCUUUCCCUCACCGUUUCAACCCCAACACCAUCCCUCUCUCUCUCUUAACGAAAGAAGAAGAAGAGAAGAAGAAGAGGAAGGAGAAAUAAGAGAAGAAGAAGAAGAAGGAGAAGAAGAUCAAGAAGGAGAUCUUCAUCCUCUCCUUCGUCUUCCUCGUGCUUAGAGCGAACCUAGAGAGGUAAGCUUUGUUACCCUCUCAAGGUAGAUCUCUAGAGAUAGGUCUAAAUGCUCUAGAAGUGAGUUUAGUAGGCUCCUUUGAUGCUAGAUAGAUGUUUAUUGCAUAAAUCGGAGAUCGAUUUGGUGGUUUUUGCCGUAGUCGCAAACUAGGGCAUCAAAAAUGGGAUUUUUGUAAAUAGAUGGGUUUGAUCUCAAAUAACCCUAUGUAAACCUAAUUGAUAGGUAACGAAACACGUUGGCGAAGACGGUUCGGCAAUCCGAUGAGCCGUCAAAGAUAUUGAAGAAACGGACGCUUGGAGCUUCGUUUCUGCCUGGAGGGCCAAGGCGACGUCCAUAAAUCGUGAAAUCGGGUCCCGAGCAUUGUAACAGCGAGGCGAAGACCGUUAGCACUUGAAACGGCGAAGCGACGCGCUCUUGGAGAGCAACUGUGAGAUCGGGCCCAAACGGGUGCCGAGUGUCGCGGGAGGCCGAUUGCAAGUGACGACGAGCAAUCGGAACGCAAGUUAAGGUGGGUUGUGUUUACCGAAGCGACUAGGUCGCCCUUUAUGUCUAAGAUGAUUAAGAAUCUAUGUUGAUGCAUAUGAAUGUAAAUGCGGCAUAUAGAUGAUGCAUAUAAAUGUAAAUAAAGCAUGUGGUUGAUUCAUGUAGUUAAUGCAUGUUAAUAAUAUGAUGUAAAUGCUAAGUAGAUCCAUGUAAAAUGAUAUGAUAUAGAAUACAUGCUAGUGAUAAUGCAAAUGAUAUGUAUGUGUGCAUUGGAAUGUAUGCUAGGUGCAUGUAACAUCAUGUGAGCAUGUUAGAUAAGAUGCAUGUGCAUAUGGACUUGAUAUGACAAGUAGGAUAUCAAGUAGAUCGAGUGGCAUUAACCUAGUGUUAACAAACAUAGGUCGAAUAUAGAUGACAUUGAAUCUAGCGUUGUUGAACCUAGGAUAAAUAACGAGUGGCAUCUAACCUAGUGUUAAAGAACAUAGGUCGAGUAUGAACCUAAAGUCGGGAUCUAGGUGUGUGGCAUCUAACCUAGUGUUAAAGAACAUAGGUUGAGAACUGAACCUAGAGUUAAGGUAAACCUAGGUUGUGAAAUUGAGACAUUAGACCUAGAGUCAGUUGGACCUAGGGUGGAAAGUGCAUUGGGCCUAGAUAGGUCAAUAGUAUAAGGUUGGAUAUGGACCCUUGACUUAUGAAGACGAUUCCGGAAUCCCAGUACUUGUGAACUCAAAGUUCUUGGACCGCGGGUGUAUGCGGCGAUGUUCCUCUCCCACCGGAAGAACUUUGAGGAUUAUGACUAAGCAAGAAUAAAGAGCGCUAGGGUGUACGCGGCAUGUUCCUUUCCCUAUCGGGGAUUUUGGCUAUGGGUGUAUGCGGCAUGUUUCCUCUCCCUUUGGCGGAUCCCUGACCACGGUGCACGGACCUUCGGGCGAACCAUUGGGCGAUGUGGUUCUUGGCUUGCAGGCUGAGGUGCAUGCGACAGGGUCCUUCACCUCGAGCCGGGCAGAACGCGGCUUAUCCGCAGUUGAUUGACUCGAGGCUGAGUUGGGUGGCUAGCUGGAAUAAGGUAGAUAGAACCUUGAGGGCUAGUGGUAAAUGUGUAAACCUAAGGUAGUAGAAACCUUAGAGUUGGAUGACAUGAGCUAAGAUUAGCGAGAUUGAUUGUAGAAUUAAUAAUUCUACUAGUUGUUGCAUAUAUUCCUGUUGCAUAUAGCAUGGCAUCAUUACAGUUGUGAGGCAAAGCGAGGUAAAGUUAGUUGCAUGUUUAUGAUAUACAUAUCUAUCUGUUUAUUGGACUAACUUGUAUUUGCCUCCCUUGGACCUGUUGGUCGAGCUCCUCCCUUGGGUGGCCGUACCCACUGGGAAACAUGGAGUUGGUUCUUACCCCACGUUGUUUUGGGGUUUUACAGGUUCGCACGUGAGCGGUGCGGCGGCACGAGGCAAGGGCGUAGCUCCGUAGAUAGCGCCCUACCUCCAUAGACCAGAGCUAGCAGUACCCCGUCGACGUAGCUUAGGGGUAUAGAAAAUGAAAGGAACAAAAUGUAUUUACCUUGUAAUAUCUAUGAUGUAAUAACUUAAUUGCUUUGGAAGUUGAAUGUAAUAUAUAAGGUGCGAUGUAAAUAAAUGAACCUAAUGUGAAUGUAUGUAAUAACAUAGGAUGUGUUAUGUUGUGAUACUUUCCUUACGCAAUCAUGAUUGAUAUCUGUUCCUGGUUGGAACCAUUGUAAUGUACAUUGUUUGGAUUGCGACGCCUAGAACGUACAGGGGAGACUCUGUCCGCAUACAGGGGAAACCCCGGUCCGUUCGGCGGUCUGUCGUCGGCGCCGUGACCCGGUCCAAAUUGGCGGUUGGUCGCGUGGCGUGACAGAUAUUGGUCACGGGGCGUGACACCUAUGCUGUCGACCUAGAACAUCCUAGUGUCUAAUACCACUAUGCUCAACAACCUAAGUUCAAUACCACUCUAGGUUUACCACACAUCAUGACCUAGGUCUUAACACUCUAGGUCCUAUGUCUCUGUCCCAUAACCUAGGUACAAUCGCUAGGUUCUACAUCAUCUCUUCCUAGAUGUCAACUUCUAGGUUCACUUGUUCGACCUAUAUUUACUAACACUAGGUUCAAUGCCACCCACCUAGAUUGUUUGACUCUAGGUUUACCUGUUCAACCUAUGUUCUUUAACACUAGGUUAGAUGCCACUCGAUCUACUUGACAUCCUAGUUGUCCAAUCGAGUAUUCUAUUGUUCUCAUGUCAAUCAACUCUACAUUUUUAGAGUUAUAAUCUAGUUCACAUGCAUGUAUAUAUAGUCAUGCUACUCAUGCACUCAUGCGAUCCUCUAGCAUUAAUACAUCAUGUUCGUCAUGCAUUCUACUUAGCAUUUUAAUAUAUGCAUUAUCAUUAACAUGCACCAUUUAGCAUUGUCUACAUGUAUCAACAUGAAAACGUUUGUUUCUUUGACAUAAAGGGCGACCUAGUCGCUUUGGUAAGCACAACCCACCUUAGCUCGCUUUUCGAUUGCUCGCCGACACUUGCAAUCGGCCUCCCGCGGCACUCGGCACCCAAUUUGGCCCGAUCUCGCAGUUGCGCUCCAACAGCGCGCCGCUUCGCCGUUUCAAGUGCUAAAGGUCUUCGGCACGAUAACACGGUGCUCGGGACUCAAUCUCGCGAUUUAUGGACGUCGCCUUGGCCCUCCAGGUAGAAACGAAGCUCCAAACGUUUGUUUCUUCAAUAACUUUGUAACGGCUCGUCGGAUUACCGAACCGUCUUCGCCAACGCGUUUCGUUACGUAACGAUUAGGUUUACGGAGAGUCAAAUGAGAUCAAACCCAUCUAUUAACAAAAACCCUCUUUUGAUGCCCUAGAAUGCCAUUAUAGUCAAAUCCACCAAAUCUAUCUAUGAAAUAGGGAAAAUCCAUCUUAAUAGCAUGCUAGGGUUCCACUCCAACCAUUUUUUAGAUAUCAAAAACCUAUCUCUAAAGAUCUAUCAUGAGAGGGCACCAAGCUUACCUCUCUAAGCUCACUCCAAUGGUGAGAAGAGGAUGAAGAGAAUGAGGAAGAUCUCCUUCUAGUCUUCUUCUCCUUCUUCUUCUCUUUCUUUCUUCUCUUUUCUUCUUUUUCUUUCUUCCCUUUUCCUUUCUUUCUUUUUUCUCUCCUUCACGAUUAGAGAGAGAGAGAGGAGGCGUUGGGAGAGUGAGGGGAAGAGAGAGAGAGAGAUACCUCUCUAAUAACCCCUCAUAUGGUCAUUUUGCACAUAAGCCUCUCCACUUUUUCAUCUCUCAACUUGCUCUUACUGGCAUUUUUCGCCCAGAGAGACCGGUCUCCCCGACCUUGGACCGGUCCCGAAGAGCUCCCCCCCGAUGUCACGCGUUCAGGAACCGGUUUGUCCCUGAGAGACCCGUCCCCCGGAGACCGGUGUCACGCCCCGGGGACGGCAGAGGCCCUCCCGGGAGCGCGCCCAGACCCGCCAUAUGUCAACACAUAUAAGGCGUCU